RNAcentral lists this transfer RNA (32 nucleotides) under Brassica napus (rape). Its description in RNAcentral is "tRNA-Ile". Lineage: Eukaryota; Viridiplantae; Streptophyta; Magnoliopsida; Brassicales; Brassicaceae. The record is from RNAcentral.
GCAUCCAUGGCUGAAUGGUUAAAGCGCCCAAC